AAAAAACAUAGUUGUGUAAUUCUUUUGUCUGCAUUUCCUGAUAGAGAUACAUAUCAUAAGGGAGUGUAGCACAGUAGAAAAAGUUCAACAAUCCAUGGCCAUUUAACUGAAGAAAUCAGAAGACAUAUACAGCAUGGUCAAGAUGAUUAAUGGCUCUUUGUUGAGCAAAACAGUUGAUUCUCAGCAUAACCUUCCUCAAAUGCAGCCGGCAGUUUCACCAACCCUGGAGUACAACAGAAGAGGGCAGAGGUGAUUUAAUUCAUCACAACACAAAAUAUUUUACAUGCCAUUGUACUGACAGUCUAACACCAAUGAAUAACUUACUCUCAAUAAUCACUCUAGCAGUCCGAGCUUACUGAAAUUUGAAAAUCAUGUGCAUAAACAUAGAUGAUGAUUGCACUCAGGUAAGCUUGUGCACAAAAAACAACUUUGGAAUUAAAUACUUUUGGCAUUCAAAUCACGAUACUGCUUACCUGACCAAACAAGAUCUAAUAUAUUUUCUAUUUUCCACAUAUAUAUUUUAUAAGGGAUAAACCUCCCAUUGAGUGUUGAGGCUGACCUUGAACCUAACAUAGAGAUCACCUACAUGACAAACAUCUGAAUUUCCUUGGCCAGCACUGACACGACGAUGUUUUGGACAUCUGGUCAUGCAGAACAAGAGCAUGUGGGUAGAGAAAAUAAAGAUGUGUGUUGCUGCAGCCGUCCAUCAUGGUGAAAGAAUGGAGAUAUUAGAGGCAAAGUGAAACGGCGGCAUCUCGGUAGUCUUACCGAUAAAAAACCAGAACCAGGUAAUAACUCAAAGAAUCAAGAACCAAGAAGGCAAGUUCUCAACAUGGCAUGCAACUACUUUACAUAUAACACAAGUGCAUGUUUAGUAGUACUUGCUAAUCAAAAUCUUAGUACCAGAGCUUGAACAAGAGAGUAACAACAUGUGCAGAGCUGCCGAAAAGAGGUCACCCAACAUCUUAAAUAUCAUGUCAAAACUUGCAUAAAUUUUUCAAACUAAGUCUAACCAAUAGCAAGCUAUCAAAAAGCAGGUAGGCACACAAUUAGUUAACGGAGUCUACUAAUCCAAAAAAGCAGAAGGAACUUCUCCAUGGAGCAUACACUAUCUGCUUUCAGCUAGCCAAAAUGACAUCGAUAUUGGAAUGGAAGCAUUAAGUAAAUGCACACAUGGGUACCUGAACAACAACUCUGUAAACAUGUACAUCACUUCAAGUACCCCCAGCCUGUCCAUCGAUUUAUGCAUAUAGCCAACAUGGAUCAACUAGCUACCACGUACGGAAGUGUAAUUUGUUCGACCUCCUUCCCACGCUUACGCUUGACACGACAGACUAUCUUCGCAGAAACACUGAUCAACUAGCUGCCACAAACGGAAGCAUACUUUGCCGCAUCGCCUUCCCACGCUUACGCUUGUCGCGCACUAUCUUCACGAUACUGACAGUGAUGCUGUGGGUGCUAGAAGCAAACAGUGAGGAGCCAUCAUUCUCUGUGAACAGUAACCCGUCGGAGAGGUUGGUGCUCCUGACCUGGAAAUCAGAGGACUGCUGCUGACCCAUGGCGGUGCACCUGGAACCAAGACGGCACCUGAACCUACGCUCAGCGGUGGCAUGAGGAUCCACGCACAGGACGGAGGCAACAUUGCCGAAAGGCGGCGCCAGGGUGAAUUUCACCAGGAACAGGGGAGCGUGGUCUCGGGCGUGGAGAACCCACGUCCCUUCUUUGACAGGCAGAGUGAACUUGGCGUCGUACUUAACCUCCUUGGAUUUCCACUUGUGAUCGCCGGUGAGAUGAGCCAGGAGCUUGUCAGUUGUGCCGGCAAAGCUGCAGGCGGGUCCUGGGCAGAAACAUGGCGCGUGCGGGCACGAAUUGCGAUGAUCUUCAGCCUUGUAGUAGAGUGUCUUCACAGUGCACCCGUACACGGGAUUGGAGCAAGGAACACAGAAUGACUCCAGGAUUUUGUCGAGCGCGAUGCAUCGAUUUUAGCCACCGGUGGCCGUGCAAAUGUGGCAGCUGUCCUUGUUCGGUAGGCUGUCGUGGCAGGACGAGCAGAUUACAUGCCCAACUGUGCACUGUGUCUCAAGAAGGAAAAUGCACCAUGGUUAGAGGCCUGCUUGUGAAAAUGAUGGUUAUGCUGCAAACAUAGAUCUUCAGUUUCAGUUCAGAAGGUUGCAGGGAAACAGCAAUGAAGAACCGCGCAAACAUGAUUGACCAAUUUGUUCUUGCUGAAAAGUAAUGAUGCUGUGACAUGGAAAUGUUUUAUGCAGGCGGCAAAUUCAUUGCAUAAUCUCUUAGCAGGUGAUGCUUGACCAAAAUUUGGCCACAGAUUCCACAAAAUCAAACAGACUCAUUUUUUUCCCGGUACCUUGGGAGUUGCAGGUGAUGCUUGACCAAAAAGUUUACAGAAAGAAAAUACUAUAUAAUUGGAGAAGGAUGACUAGGUUGCAGGUCGAAUCCAUUUUCGUAGCUGUUCGAUUCAAUCAUUGGUUUGUAAUUAAGGUGCUUGAUGAAGGAUGGGGAAUGGUCUGAUUUAGGAGGGCCCUGUGGUAUUUGCAGAGCUAUAUGGAGCUGUUCACUUUUAGAGCCGAAGAGCAGUACACUUGAGUGCAAUCCUCUUGCAAUGCAAUGAGUUUGUCACUGGAUGUUGAGGAUUCAGGUAGUUGAUGAUUCAAUCAAGGAUUCAGCUUUCAGUUUGCUGGUGCCUCAUACAGUAAAUUUGACAACACAAAAAUCUGACCUCAAGGGGGGACGUAGGGUGAGAUUAUUUGGUAUAAGACACUGACGGAUCGCCUUUCCUUUACAUCUUCUGCAGCAAGAUAUGCGUGAAUGGUGAAUCAACAUGAUACUGUUGAUUUUACCUGAACUCUCUUUGCCAUCUACUGUAUGAUUUCUACCAGAACUUAUAGAUUUAUUUUACAGGCAUGGCAGGGCAUGGCAUUCGGGCAACCCAAUCUCCCAAUACAGUGGUAGACCAAACAGGGCAAACGGUGCUAUCCAACAAUCCAAUCUACCAAUCUCGUUCGAACAAGGGAAACAAAAGAGGGGAUAAACAAGAGAUGUACCUGGAGGAGCGGAG
Molecule: long non-coding RNA, 3076 nt
Filed under: Triticum aestivum (bread wheat)
Lineage: Eukaryota; Viridiplantae; Streptophyta; Magnoliopsida; Poales; Poaceae
Description: long non-coding RNA (TAES_LNC025076)
Source: RNAcentral